UACGUAGGGUGCAAGCGUUAAUCGGAAUUACUGGGCGUAAAGCGCGCGUAGGCGGCUUUGUAAGUUAGAGGUGAAAGCCCGGGGCUCAACUCCGGAACUGCCUUUAAGACUGCAUCGCUUGAAUCCGGGAGAGGUGAGUGGAAUUCCGAGUGUAGAGGUGAAAUUCGUAGAUAUUCGGAAGAACACCAGUGGCGAAGGCGGCUCACUGGACCGGUAUUGACGCUGAGGUGCGAAAGCGUGGGGAGCAAACAGG
RNAcentral lists this ribosomal RNA (253 nucleotides) under uncultured bacterium. RNAcentral's name for it is "partial 16S ribosomal RNA". It matches the Rfam family "Bacterial small subunit ribosomal RNA", at positions 524 to 776 of the family's 1533-position model. The record is from RNAcentral.